Molecule: ribosomal RNA, 214 nt
Filed under: uncultured bacterium
Lineage: Bacteria
Description: partial 16S ribosomal RNA
Rfam family: Bacterial small subunit ribosomal RNA
Source: RNAcentral
UCUCAGUUCGGAUCUAGGCUGCAACCCGCCUGCGUGAAGUUGGAAUUGCUAGUAAUCGCGGAUCAGCAUGCCGCGGUGAAUACGUUCCCGGGCCUUGUACACACCGCCCGUCACACCAUGGGAGCCGGUAAUACCCGAAGUCAGUAGUCUAACCGCAAGGGGGGCGCUGCCGAAGGUAGGCCCGGUGACUGGGGUGAAGUCGUAACAAGGUAAC